UGCAUACAUGAAGACUUCUCAUCAUCCCUAAAUCCUGAAUAUGUUCCUGGUUAUAGAAAUAUUGAUUGGUACAUAUAGUAUCGUCUCUAUAUAUAGGGAAUGUCAAGAUCUUAAGUCAUUAAGUGUGAAUACACAUCAAUAUGUGUUUAGCCAAGUAAAUUUUCAAUCUUGAACCCAGAUGGGUUUUUGGCUUUGAACACAAUUCCAACAAGCUACUGGAGACCAGCAAUUUUUUUUCCUUCCCUGCUUCGCCAAAGAGCUCGAAUGAGAGAAAUCAAUCGAAGAGAGAAGAGGUUAAAAUCAAUCGCCGGAAAAUCCAAAUUGGGGGCUGGGUAAUAUGGGUUUCGAUUGUGUUGGUUCUGGGCACAGAUAUAUUUAAGUAGGCUGCGGAGUAGAAGAAUGAAAAAUUGAAUUUACUUCCUGCAAAAUUUUGUUAAGAUGCUGGAUACAAAUCAAACCUUACUUUAAAGACAAAAUUUCUGGGGUAGAGGAUUGCCAAAAGCAAGCUAAUAUAUCUGAGUAAGGCAACAUCAGGUGGCUAAAAAUAAUUACAUCCUCAUCCUGUUUCAACAUACCAGAUCACAGAGCCUUGAUAUCUACCUUCCCUUGAUACACACUUGACGAUUGAGGUACUUCGCCAAGAUAUCUGUUCACAAAUAUCUCCAAGAACUGCUUCUCCGCAGGUUUCAGCAGAGAACCCAGACUCAAGUUCUCAUUUAUGAGACCUUUCAACAGCAGAACUUCAACAACAGAGCACCUUGGAAUAAGUCAAAUUGAACCAAAUUGGGGGCUGGGGGUUUUGGAAGAGAUUUUUCGGUGAUUGUCUUGGCUAUUGUUGGGGUAGGGUGGGCUGAGGCAUAGGAGGAAGGAACAGGGAGAGAGAAGAAGAGACGAGGAGAUAAGAGGGUUCGCAGAGGGGAGCUGG
This 925-nucleotide long non-coding RNA is filed under the name Prunus dulcis (almond). Its description in RNAcentral is "sRNA ncRNA". The record is from RNAcentral. Lineage: Eukaryota; Viridiplantae; Streptophyta; Magnoliopsida; Rosales; Rosaceae.